RNAcentral lists this small RNA (27 nucleotides) under Bombyx mori (domestic silkworm). Its description in RNAcentral is "ovarian small RNA-36281". Lineage: Eukaryota; Metazoa; Arthropoda; Insecta; Lepidoptera; Bombycidae. The record is from RNAcentral.
UGUUUUGACCGAAUAUGGGCCUGCAAA